Molecule: long non-coding RNA, 429 nt
Filed under: Monodelphis domestica (gray short-tailed opossum)
Lineage: Eukaryota; Metazoa; Chordata; Mammalia; Didelphimorphia; Didelphidae
Description: lncRNA (ENSMODG00000044745.1)
Source: RNAcentral
AGCAUACUGAAUUCUAUAGUAAAAUAGCAUUAUAAAUGAUUGAAGUUUAAGACAAAAAACAGAUCUGAAGUCAAAUAUCCUUUUCCAGUGAUGACAGGGGCCUGAUGCUGAAGGAACUUGAGUAUCACCAUUGGGGGGAGCCAAACAACUCUCUCAUGCUACCAGAGGACUGUACUAAAGACUAAGGAAGAAACAGAGACAGAAUUACUCCAAAAGGAAAAAAAAAGGGCGAAAAAGAUUAAUGGGUACAUGAUUUACAUUGCUUGUAUUGGGGACAAGGAGGAGGCCCUAUCUUCAGGACACAUGGAACAUGAACACCAGUUCAGGCCUUACUUCUGACAUUCCUCAGAUGAUAGUCAGAAUUGAGACUACAUCAUUUGGAACUUCCCUUCAGAGACUCUGUUUACCACAACCAAGACAUGAUUCCAG